GGGUUGUGAGGUUAAGCGACUAAGCGUACACGGUGGAUGCCCUGGCAGUCAGAGGCGAUGAAGGGCGUGCUAAUCUGCGAUAAGCGCCGGUAAGGUGAUAUGAACCGUUAUAACCGGCGAUACCCGAAUGGGGAAACCCAGUGUGAUUCGUCACACUAUCAUUAACUGAAUCCAUAGGUUAAUGAGGCGAACCGGGGGAACUGAAACAUCUAAGUACCCCGAGGAAAAGAAAUCAACCGAGAUUCCCCCAGUAGCGGCGAGCGAACGGGGAGGAGCCCAGAGCCUGAAUCAGCAUGUGUGUUAGUGGAAGCGUCUGGAAAGGCGCGCGAUACAGGGUGACAGCCCCGUACACAAAAGCGCAUGUGCUGUGAGCUCGAUGAGUAGGGCGGGACACGUGGUAUCCUGUCUGAAUAUGGGGGGACCAUCCUCCAAGGCUAAAUACUCCUGACUGACCGAUAGUGAACCAGUACCGUGAGGGAAAGGCGAAAAGAACCCCGGCGAGGGGAGUGAAAAAGAACCUGAAACCGUGUACGUACAAGCAGUGGGAGCACAGGUUUACCUGUGUGACUGCGUACCUUUUGUAUAAUGGGUCAGCGACUUAUAUUCUGUAGCAAGGUUAACCGUAUAGGGGAGCCGGAGGGAAACCGAGUCUUAACCGGGCGUUAAGUUGCAGGGUAUAGACCCGAAACCCGGUGAUCUAGCCAUGGGCAGGUUGAAGGUUGGGUAACACUAACUGGAGGACCGAACCGACUAAUGUUGAAAAAUUAGCGGAUGACCUGUGGCUGGGGGUGAAAGGCCAAUCAAACCGGGAGAUAGCUGGUUCUCCCCGAAAGCUAUUUAGGUAGCGCCUCGUGAAUUCAUCUCCGGGGGUAGAGCACUGUUUCGGCUAGGGGGCCAUCCCGGCUUACCAACCCGAUGCAAACUGCGAAUACCGGAGAAUGUUAUCACGGGAGACACACGGCGGGUGCUAACGUCCGUCGUGAAGAGGGAAACAACCCAGACCGCCAGCUAAGGUCCCAAAGUCAUGGUUAAGUGGGAAACGAUGUGGGAAGGCCCAGACAGCCAGGAUGUUGGCUUAGAAGCAGCCAUCAUUUAAAGAAAGCGUAAUAGCUCACUGGUCGAGUCGGCCUGCGCGGAAGAUGUAACGGGGCUAAACCAUGCACCGAAGCUGCGGCAGCGAACGUAUCACUUAAAGCGAUUCAGCGGGUUACGAUUGACGGAGCGAAGCGACGUCAAAGCGUAUACAAAGUCGAGUCGGUUUAAGGAUACGUUCGUUGGGUAGGGGAGCGUUCUGUAAGCCUGUGAAGGUGGCCUGUGAGGGUUGCUGGAGGUAUCAGAAGUGCGAAUGCUGACAUAAGUAACGAUAAAGCGGGUGAAAAGCCCGCUCGCCGGAAGACCAAGGGUUCCUGUCCAACGUUAAUCGGGGCAGGGUGAGUCGACCCCUAAGGCGAGGCCGAAAGGCGUAGUCGAUGGGAAACGGGUUAAUAUUCCCGUACUUGGUGUUACUGCGAAGGGGGACGGAGAAGGCUAUGUUGGCCGGGCGACGGUUGUCCCGGUUUAAGCGUGUAGGCUGGUUUUCCAGGCAAAUCCGGAAAAUCAAGGCUGAGGCGUGACGACGAGGCACUACGGUGCUGAAGCAACAAAUGCCCUGCUUCCAGGAAAAGCCUCUAAGCAUCAGGUAACAUCAAAUCGUACCCCAAACCGACACAGGUGGUCAGGUAGAGAAUACCAAGGCGCUUGAGAGAACUCGGGUGAAGGAACUAGGCAAAAUGGUGCCGUAACUUCGGGAGAAGGCACGCUGACACGUAGGUGAAGUGAUUUACUCACGGAGCUGAAGUCAGUCGAAGAUACCAGCUGGCUGCAACUGUUUAUUAAAAACACAGCACUGUGCAAACACGAAAGUGGACGUAUACGGUGUGACGCCUGCCCGGUGCCGGAAGGUUAAUUGAUGGGGUCAGCGCAAGCGAAGCUCCUGAUCGAAGCCCCGGUAAACGGCGGCCGUAACUAUAACGGUCCUAAGGUAGCGAAAUUCCUUGUCGGGUAAGUUCCGACCUGCACGAAUGGCGUAAUGAUGGCCAGGCUGUCUCCACCCGAGACUCAGUGAAAUUGAACUCGCUGUGAAGAUGCAGUGUACCCGCGGCAAGACGGAAAGACCCCGUGAACCUUUACUAUAGCUUGACACUGAACAUUGAGCCUUGAUGUGUAGGAUAGGUGGGAGGCUUUGAAGCGUGGACGCCAGUCUGCGUGGAGCCGACCUUGAAAUACCACCCUUUAAUGUUUGAUGUUCUAACGUGGACCCGUGAUCCGGGUUGCGGACAGUGUCUGGUGGGUAGUUUGACUGGGGCGGUCUCCUCCUAAAGAGUAACGGAGGAGCACGAAGGUUGGCUAAUCCUGGUCGGACAUCAGGAGGUUAGUGCAAUGGCAUAAGCCAGCUUGACUGCGAGCGUGACGGCGCGAGCAGGUGCGAAAGCAGGUCAUAGUGAUCCGGUGGUUCUGAAUGGAAGGGCCAUCGCUCAACGGAUAAAAGGUACUCCGGGGAUAACAGGCUGAUACCGCCCAAGAGUUCAUAUCGACGGCGGUGUUUGGCACCUCGAUGUCGGCUCAUCACAUCCUGGGGCUGAAGUAGGUCCCAAGGGUAUGGCUGUUCGCCAUUUAAAGUGGUACGCGAGCUGGGUUUAGAACGUCGUGAGACAGUUCGGUCCCUAUCUGCCGUGGGCGCUGGAGAACUGAGGGGGGCUGCUCCUAGUACGAGAGGACCGGAGUGGACGCAUCACUGGUGUUCGGGUUGUCAUGCCAAUGGCACUGCCCGGUAGCUAAAUGCGGAAGAGAUAAGUGCUGAAAGCAUCUAAGCACGAAACUUGCCCCGAGAUGAGUUCUCCCUGAGACUUAGAGUCUCCUGAAGGAACGUUGAAGACGACGACGUUGAUAGGCCGGGUGUGUAAGCGCAGCGAUGCGUUGAGCUAACCGGUACUAAUGAACCGUGAGGCUUAACCUUACAACGCCGAAG
RNAcentral lists this ribosomal RNA (3007 nucleotides) under Salmonella enterica subsp. enterica serovar Anatum. Its description in RNAcentral is "bacterial LSU rRNA". It matches the Rfam family "Bacterial large subunit ribosomal RNA". The record is from RNAcentral. Lineage: Bacteria; Pseudomonadati; Pseudomonadota; Gammaproteobacteria; Enterobacterales; Enterobacteriaceae.